UCCCGGUCCCGGCACCAGCUCUCCCAGAUCGAAACUGCUCCAUGAGACAGCACUGCCUCCCAGAUCCACCUCCGCCUCCACCUCCGCCUCGACCUGCCGCCCUCUCGAGACAACACCGCUGCUCCUCUCACCUAUCAUCGUCGCCUUCCUCCUCUCUCCUCCAACCGCUCUAGAACCCCCUCUCUUAGAUCCCUGCAACACCUACCCUGAUUCAAGUCUCUGAAUCCCACAUCCAAGCGUCGCCACUACCCUCUAUCCUCGACUCCUCCGACAUGCGUCUCAUGCUCAGCUCCAUGGAUGCUCUCAUGCACCGCAAUAUACUCGUUGCGCAGAGCGGGUUCUUCACCGCCAAGCUCUCGGACCGCUGGUCCAAUCAGCGGUGGACAUUGUCUCACAUUAACCAGAUCUCCGACUGGGACAACGUGGAGCAGAUAGACAUGGCGGUUCCGUCCCCUGCUCGACACCUCGCUGGUGCUGAUAGGCGCGCUCCGUGUCACUGCAGCAGAGCGGCACCAGACACAAUCCCCCACCUGGGCCGCCCUCACUCUGCUUAACGCCCCCUGCUUUUGCAACGUACAGCAACACCAGGUGGACUAAAUUUCUUGACAUUAAAUGCAGCAAGUUGAUACCAUCCACGUUUGAUACAGGUAGAUGUAUAUCAGCUAUAACUUCUGUUGCCAAUUUUGUAAACAAAUCUACUAUUCUGUAUACUGUCUUGAGCACUGCAUUGCAGAAUCGGGGGAGAGUUUAGGUUAGAAGCAUCGCCUCAAUGGUACUAUAUCUAUAUCAUCAAGAUUACGGGUGUGUUCUCUCUAAUAUACUUCCGUGUAAAUGCAUGUUUGUGAGUUUCUAAGAGAUACACUUGGUCUAAAAUAAUACGAGGUGUAGUAGGAGACCAUUUGAAAGUGUCAAUGUCAUGAUGCACUAAUUUCGUGAGAGAAUGGUUGCAUCUUCCACGAAUUUCCUGAUAAUGGUUUAUUUGAUUAUUCUUUUUUUUUUUCAGCAGAACUAAUGUAGAUGUGUUGAAACAAUCUUGCGUUGCCUGUUAUAGAUUAUCCAUUUUGGUUAUCUCGACUACGAAGCAUCGAUUUCUGUUCCAUGAUUCCAAAAUUCAUACUUUAUGCAAAGAGGAAAUGUUCCAAUUCCUUGUGGAACUAAGACAGUUGUACAAAAAGCAGCUUUCCAAAUUGUCUUGUAACCUUACAAUAAUUACUAGAUUAUUAGUAUUCACUUAUACUAUACAUGCAGAUAAGGGUGCCAUUGCCUGAGAUUAACUGAUGGUUGUGCCACUUAACUAUUCUUCAGGUUAUUGUUCUAUCUACGGUUCAUGACUCCUGUGCAUGCCCAGUGAAGGACAUGAUAAGUGCAGUGCUCAGUGUUUGCUUUCAUUUUGUGGAGUUUGUUUGCCAUGUCGAACCAUUUCAUAUGCGGCUUGAUGUCUUGUGUUAUGUAACAGACCAUUGUGUUGAUCCUUUCUACUACUACACAAUGUCAUGGUCCAAACAAUGAAAACCACGACUAAAAUUAGCAAGCAUUUGACUUCAGACAUGCACUAAGACACAGCUUUAAGACUAGUACCAUGAGAAUUGGCACAGGUGUUUUGCGUGAAUAGCGUGCUUUAAUUUAGUCGUUACACAUUUAUUUAGUUCCCCUUAAUAAUAACAUGAAACAGUGUACUCUUAUCUGUUCAAUAUUGUGUCAGGACAAGCCUCUGGCUGCUGAGGUAAAUGACAAAGCACUAGGAUUGAAGAGAUGGGAAAGGGGGGAGCAUACACUUGUUUGUUUGUUUUUCGUGAAAGAGCAUACACUUGUUAACACUUAACAGUAUGUAUUCAACCUGCACUUGUAUACUAGUGAUGACACAACAAUUACUUUAUUUUUGCUUGAGUGACCAGAAAAGAUGGCUUAAAAAAUGUGAUAUCAUUACGUGCAAAGGUAUGCAUCUUUUGCUUAUCUUGGUAUUGCCCUUUUCUAAAUAGAUUUUCUUAAUCGUGGUAACCAAACAGUGUGCUAUUCUAUGUUUAGGAUUCUUGUUUCCUUAAGAUAUGUUGCCACUUUUAUGCCUUAGUAUUCUUCUGUAUGUAGUGCAGAUUGUCUGUUAAGUAAAACCAGUGGUUCAGAGCAAAAUGAGAACAUCAAUAUUUAAAUAAGCAACGAUCUCUCUUUUUAUUUUCACAUGUCCCCUGAAAUUAUGUCCGGACAUUAUAUAUAUAAAAAGAUCACUGUACUUUCUUCUUUCCAUGUCACAAAUUUCAUAUGUAGUUUUUGCCUGUCCCAGUUUCAUAUCAGAUUAGGAGACAUAUUUUGCCUCGAGAAGUUGCACUUGUUAAAUACCUAAGUGCAUCUCGUUCAUAUUACAAUCUGCUGGUGUUGUGGUGUCAUUCCUAACUUCUGUGCUAUGAGAAUCUCUGUCAAAAUCAAAGUCGAGUGGCGGUGGUACUUCUAUCUGUUGUCAUUAUUACAACAAUAUAUUUUCAUUUGCAUACUUGUGUGACUUGUGUUGCCAUCACCUUCAGAUUAUUUUCAUUGGUCGUACCUUGUGAUCCCUAUGUUCAUGUAUCUCACAACUAGUUUGAUGACUUGUAGAGUGACACAAUGCUGGAGGUAGCCACAAUGGUGGGAGCAAUAUAUAUGGUGAUGAGCAUAUUACGAGUAACUCAACCGAGUGAAGUUCUCAAGCUAAGAUGUUGAUGGUGUUUGAUGUUUUUAGACCAUUAAUCUUUAGAAAAAUGUCAUCAUCAUCAGAGGACUAAAGGCAAGAGUUGUUCUUUCUAGGUUAUGAUGCAUGAACAUGAUUGUGGUUGAAUUUUGUGUCAUUUUCGGGCAACACAUAUAAAAAGAGAAUUAUGUUUGAAAAGAGGAGUAAACUAUAAUGUAGUAAGUUUUUUCUCAAAAGGAUAAUGCCAAAGUGUGGUUCAGAUGAAGGUAAGGA
Molecule: long non-coding RNA, 2932 nt
Organism: Aegilops tauschii subsp. strangulata
Lineage: Eukaryota; Viridiplantae; Streptophyta; Magnoliopsida; Poales; Poaceae
Source: RefSeq, a predicted model, not a curated record